UUGAACGCUGGCGGCAUGCCUUACACAUGCAAGUCGAACGGCAGCACGGGGGCAACCCUGGUGGCGAGUGGCGAACGGGUGAGUAAUGCAUCGGAACGUGCCCUGAAGUGGGGGAUAACGUAGCGAAAGUUACGCUAAUACCGCAUAUUCUGUGAGCAGGAAAGCAGGGGAUCGCAAGACCUUGCGCUUUAGGAGCGGCCGAUGUCGGAUUAGCUAGUUGGCGAGGUAAAGGCUCACCAAGGCAACGAUCCGUAGCGGGUCUGAGAGGAUGAUCCGCCACACUGGGACUGAGACACGGCCCAGACUCCUACGGGAGGCAGCAGUGGGGAAUUUUGGACAAUGGGCGCAAGCCUGAUCCAGCCAUGCCGCGUGAGUGAAGAAGGCCUUCGGGUUGUAAAGCUCUUUCGGCGGGGAGGAAGGCACCGGCGCGAAUAGCGUUGGUGAUUGACGUAACCUGGAGAAGAAGCACCGGCUAACUCCGU
RNAcentral lists this ribosomal RNA (482 nucleotides) under uncultured bacterium. RNAcentral describes it as "bacterial SSU rRNA". It matches the Rfam family "Bacterial small subunit ribosomal RNA", at positions 29 to 506 of the family's 1533-position model. The record is from RNAcentral.